This 155-nucleotide unclassified non-coding RNA is filed under the name uncultured fungus. RNAcentral describes it as "sequence contains ITS1". The record is from RNAcentral. Lineage: Eukaryota; Fungi.
UUAUAAUACCAUUGCGAAUUUACGCCUACUACUUGCUCGUUAUCUAUGCGGUGGGCUAUGCGUGCUUUCACACACACACACCACACACACACACUGUGCCCACUGUUAAUACAUACAAUUUGUUAAUGAUCCUUCCGCAGGUUCACCUACGGAAA